This 360-nucleotide ribosomal RNA is filed under the name cf. Bantua sp. MNHN BL632. Its description in RNAcentral is "partial 16S ribosomal RNA". Lineage: Eukaryota; Metazoa; Arthropoda; Insecta; Blattodea; Blaberidae. The record is from RNAcentral.
GUAUGGCCUGCCCAAUGAAUUUAUUUAAAUGGCCGCGGUAUAUUGACCGUGCAAAGGUAGCAUAAUCAUUAGUUUCUUAAUUAGGAGCUAGAAUGAAUGGUUGGACGAGAUAAUAACUGUCUAAUUAUUAAUAGAGUAGAACUUAUUUUUUAGGUUAAAAAACUUAAAUGAUUUUUUGGGACGAGAAGACCCUAUAGAAUUUAAUAUCUAUUUGUAUAGUUUGUAAGGUAUUUAUGGUGGAUAAGAUAUUUUAUUGGGGUGAUAAAAGGAUAUAAUUAACUCUUUUUAGUUGUUGAAUAUUGAUGUAUAGUAUGUAUAUAUAUUAUGAUCCAUUAUUAUUGAUUAAAAGAUAAAAUUACC